This 251-nucleotide ribosomal RNA is filed under the name Lysinibacillus sphaericus. RNAcentral describes it as "partial 16S ribosomal RNA". It matches the Rfam family "Bacterial small subunit ribosomal RNA", at positions 127 to 370 of the family's 1533-position model. The record is from RNAcentral. Lineage: Bacteria; Bacillati; Bacillota; Bacilli; Caryophanales; Bacillaceae.
UACCCUAUAGUUUGGGAUAACUCCGGGAAACCGGGGCUAAUACCGAAUAAUCUCUUUUACUUCAUGGUGAAAGACUGAAAGACGGCAUCUCGCUGUCGCUAUAGGAUGGGCCCGCGGCGCAUUAGCUAGUUGGUGAGGUAACGGCUCACCAAGGCGACGAUGCGUAGCCGACCUGAGAGGGUGAUCGGCCACACUGGGACUGAGACACGGCCCAGACUCCUACGGGAGGCAGCAGUAGGGAAUCUUCCACA